UACGGGGGGGGCAAGCGUUGUUCGGAAUUACUGGGCGUAAAGGGUUCGUAGGUGGCCAACUAAGUCAGACGUGAAAUCCCUCAGCUCAACUGGGGAACUGCGUCUGAUACUGGUUGGCUUGAGUGCAGGAGAGGAACGCGGAAUUCCAGGUGUAGCGGUGAAAUGCGUAGAUAUCUGGAGGAACACCGGUGGCGAAGGCGGCGUUCUGGACUGCAACUGACACUGACGCUCAUGCACGAAAGCGUGGGGAGCAAACAGG
RNAcentral lists this ribosomal RNA (259 nucleotides) under uncultured bacterium. RNAcentral describes it as "partial 16S ribosomal RNA". It matches the Rfam family "Bacterial small subunit ribosomal RNA", at positions 524 to 776 of the family's 1533-position model. The record is from RNAcentral.